This 461-nucleotide ribosomal RNA is filed under the name uncultured bacterium. Its description in RNAcentral is "partial 16S ribosomal RNA". It matches the Rfam family "Bacterial small subunit ribosomal RNA", at positions 28 to 523 of the family's 1533-position model. The record is from RNAcentral.
GAUGAGCGCUGGCGGCGUGCCUAAAACAUGCAAGUCGUGCGGCAGCGGGCCUUCGGGUGCCGGCGAGCGGCGGACGGGUGAGUAACGCGUAGGAACGUACCCCAAAGUGAGGGAUAAGCUCCGGAAACGGAGUCUAAUACCGCAUAUGCUCUUAGGAGUAAAGGAGUAAUCCGCUUUGGGAGCGGCCUGCGUCCGAUUAGUUUGUUGGUGAGGUAAUGGCUUACCAAGACGAUGAUCGGUAGCUGGUUUGAGAGGAUGAUCAGCCACACUGGGGAUGAGACUCGGGCCAGACUCCUACGGGAGGCAGCAGUUAGGAAUUUUCCACAAUGGGGGCAACCCUGAUGGAGCAACGCCGCGUGCAGGAAGACGGCCUUCGGGUUGUAAACUGCUUUUAAAAGUGAAGAUUAUGACGGUAACUUUAGAAUAAGGAUCGGCUAACUCCGUGCCAGCAGCCGCGGUAA